GAGGACACCAAUGUGCUGAGAAGUAAAGGAGAAUAGUCUUCCCUACGAGGUCAGACACGAGGAUCUUUUCACCAUCUUUUCCAAUGACGAAAUCACGAUCUCUAGUAACCAAAAUCGACUCCAACGUUUGUGCUUCCAGUUUAGCUUUCUGUAUCUGCUCAAGUUCAGCAAACUUCUCGUGGCUAAAAGGAUAUGCCAGGAUACCAUGCUCCUCGACGGCUUCAGCAACAUUAGAAUGAAGAGUCUUCCCAUCUGUUCCAAUGAUGACUAGG
RNAcentral lists this unclassified non-coding RNA (272 nucleotides) under Hevea brasiliensis (rubber tree). Lineage: Eukaryota; Viridiplantae; Streptophyta; Magnoliopsida; Malpighiales; Euphorbiaceae. The record is from RNAcentral.